This 565-nucleotide long non-coding RNA is filed under the name Homo sapiens (human). Its description in RNAcentral is "HSALNT0102023". Lineage: Eukaryota; Metazoa; Chordata; Mammalia; Primates; Hominidae. The record is from RNAcentral.
UUUUAUCUGAAUGUACAACACUUAAUGGCAUAAAUUCUACAAGGCUGAACACAAUGGCAUGUUUUAUAAAAAUACCCAGCUGAGGACAUAAAAACACCCUUACCUCCAGAAUUAUCUAUAAAUGUUCUUCUCUCUCCUGCCACCUUGUGAAGAACGGGCCUUCCACCAUGACUAAACACCACGAUGGAAGAAGGUUAGUCAAUAAAAUCUUGAGCCAUCUCACUCAUAAUACCUGCCAAUUUCCGGAGAAGUAGACCAAGGGAGGAUUGGCAUCUCAUAUGGUUUGAGAUGUUUUGCCAUUCUGCUUGAACCCAGGAGGCAGAGGUUGCAGUGAGCCAAGAACAGCCACUACAUUCCAGCCUGGGUGACACAGUGAGACUCUCUCAACAAAUGCAAAAGAAAAAGAAAGAAAGAAAAGAGCCUGGUGUCUCUCUUGCCCCUUCUCUUGCCACGUGACACACUGGCUCUCCUUUCCUUCUGCCAUAACUAAAAGCUUCCUGAGGCCUCACCAGAAUCCGAGAUUUGAGUGCCAUGCUUAUACAGCCUGUAGAACCAUGAGCCAAAU